AUGCAAACUGCGAAUACCGGAGAAUGUUAUCACGGGAGACACACGGCGGGUGCUAACGUCCGUCGUGAAGAGGGAAACAACCCAGACCGCCAGCUAAGGUCCCAAAGUCAUGGUUAAGUGGGAAACGAUGUGGGAAGGCCCAGACAGCCAGGAUGUUGGCUUAGAAGCAGCCAUCAUUUAAAGAAAGCGUAAUAGCUCACUGGUCGAGUCGGCCUGCGCGGAAGAUGUAACGGGGCUAAACCAUGCACCGAAGCUGCGGCAGCGAACGUAUCACCCAAGACAACUUUACGGAGUUGACGAUUGACGGAGCGAAGCGACGUCAAAGCGUUCAUUAAAGUCGAGUUGGCUUAGGGAUACGUUCGUUGGGUAGGGGAGCGUUCUGUAAGCCUGUGAAGGUGUGUCGUGAGGCAUGCUGGAGGUAUCAGAAGUGCGAAUGCUGACAUAAGUAACGAUAAAGCGGGUGAAAAGCCCGCUCGCCGGAAGACCAAGGGUUCCUGUCCAACGUUAAUCGGGGCAGGGUGAGUCGACCCCUAAGGCGAGGCCGAAAGGCGUAGUCGAUGGGAAACGGGUUAAUAUUCCCGUACUUGGUGUUACUGCGAAGGGGGGACGGAGAAGGCUAUGUUGGCCGGGCGACGGUUGUCCCGGUUUAAGCGUGUAGGUGUGUGUUCCAGGUAAAUCCGGUUCACUUUAACACUGAGGCGUGACGACGAGGCACUACGGUGCUGAAGCAACAAAUGCCCUGCUUCCAGGAAAAGCCUCUAAGCAUCAGGUAACACGAAAUCGUACCCCAAACCGACACAGGUGGUCAGGUAGAGAAUACCAAGGCGCUUGAGAGAACUCGGGUGAAGGAACUAGGCAAAAUGGUGCCGUAACUUCGGGAGAAGGCACGCUGACACGUAGGUGAAGUGAUUUACUCAUGGAGCUGAAGUCAGUCGAAGAUACCAGCUGGCUGCAACUGUUUAUUAAAAACACAGCACUGUGCAAACACGAAAGUGGACGUAUACGGUGUGACGCCUGCCCGGUGCCGGAA
RNAcentral lists this ribosomal RNA (1030 nucleotides) under Salmonella enterica. RNAcentral's name for it is "partial 23S ribosomal RNA". It matches the Rfam family "Bacterial large subunit ribosomal RNA", at positions 947 to 1874 of the family's 2925-position model. Lineage: Bacteria; Pseudomonadati; Pseudomonadota; Gammaproteobacteria; Enterobacterales; Enterobacteriaceae. The record is from RNAcentral.